RNAcentral lists this ribosomal RNA (657 nucleotides) under uncultured Escherichia sp. RNAcentral's name for it is "bacterial SSU rRNA". It matches the Rfam family "Bacterial small subunit ribosomal RNA", at positions 28 to 674 of the family's 1533-position model. Lineage: Bacteria; Pseudomonadati; Pseudomonadota; Gammaproteobacteria; Enterobacterales; Enterobacteriaceae. The record is from RNAcentral.
AUUGAACGCUGGCGGCAGGCCUAACACAUGCAAGUCGAACGGUAACAGGAAACAGCUUGCUGUUUCGCUGACGAGUGGCGGACGGGUGAGUAAUGUCUGGGAAACUGCCUGAUGGAGGGGGAUAACUACUGGAAACGGUAGCUAAUACCGCAUAACGUCGCAAGACCAAAGAGGGGGACCUUCGGGCCUCUUGCCAUUGGAUGUGCCCAGAUGGGAUUAGCUAGUAGGUGGGGUAACGGCUCACCUAGGCGACGAUCCCUAGCUGGUCUGAGAGGAUGACCAGCCACACUGGAACUGAGACACGGUCCAGACUCCUACGGGAGGCAGCAGUGGGGAAUAUUGCACAAUGGGCGCAAGCCUGAUGCAGCCAUGCCGCGUGUAUGAAGAAGGCCUUCGGGUUGUAAAGUACUUUCAGCGGGGAGGAAGGGAGUAAAGUUAAUACCUUUGCUCAUUGACGUUACCCGCAGAAGAAGCACCGGCUAACUCCGUGCCAGCAGCCGCGGUAAUACGGAGGGUGCAAGCGUUAAUCGGAAUUACUGGGCGUAAAGCGCACGCAGGCGGUUUGUUAAGUCAGAUGUGAAAUCCCCGGGCUCAACCUGGGAACUGCAUCUGAUACUGGCAAGCUUGAGUCUCGUAGAGGGGGGUAGAAUUCCAGGU